GUAUUGAAAUAAGCCAUUAAAAAAAAAGAACCCCUUUCACUGUCAUACAUAUGUGUGUUUUUUUUACUGCUGGCACAGCUCUGGGCCCAUCACUGCGCAGUUUCAUUACCCAUGAUGACACACUCACACUCACACACACACACAUACAAUGUUCUUCCCCUGUUCGGUGCACAUUUAAUCAACUAGGCGACAGCGUGCAGCGCGCUAUGCUGCUCCGUCCAGAUAAGAUUAUCCUUCAGCCGAAGGCUUGACAGUCAAUAGGUAGACCAGGAGUGUAAUUAGUGCAUUUGCGUGAAUGAAGGAAAACGAGUGAGAAAAAGGAAACGAAUAAGACAGAAAAAGAUAGUGGAGAUAGUGAAUGAGUGGGAGAGAAAGAGUUAUUGAUGUCGCCCAGCCUGUCCAGCCUGAGCACCAUGAGCGAGAAAACUGGCGUGCAGGGUGGGAAAACAUCUGCAGUGCAUCUCGGUCCCAUCCUCCGCAAGAAGCAUACGGAGUGGGCCGAGGCAGAGUUGACACACUGUGUGAGAAAAAGCCUACGCGGGUAACAGAGGAGCGAGGUGUUUGCGCCUGCUUAUUAAAACAAAGCACGUGCACAAGAUCCAGGGAGGCGAAGACAACGUUUACAGGAGGCCAACGGAGAGAGAAGGCAGGACUUUUUCACCACGUUUCCCGUCUUUGCUUAAGCCAUCGAAGCAGGUUUGCUGUUUCUAUAUUGACUUUGAUGGCCGCUCCCUUGACCUUUAAGUGAGACAAACUGUGCCGAGUUGUCCACCUGUGACUCAACCUGAUAGCUGUCAGCUCCAAGUUCCGGCUAAUGUGGGAUAAAGUGCUGGCCAGCUGAGGCACACGCCCAGGACCCAUGCCUCACCUCUGACAGCGCUAUUAAUCACCCAAACUAUUAUUAUUCAUCAGAUCAUUCCACAUGCAGACAGGACUCUGCACACACAGAUGAUGCACACCUACAAAUCAAAUGCAAGCGACAGAUCGAUGGACGCUUUCCCGAGGCGAACAUGUUGGUCAUAAGAGCAUGAGGAAACAGAGAACCAUAGGAAGUGUAGGAUGUUUAAUCUCUGAGGAUAUACGCUUCAUUUCCAUCAAAAACUGCUUUUUAAAAAGAAAAAAAAAAAAAGGUCAGCAUUAUUCAUAUUCAUCUAAAUGUUUUAUGCAUGUAAAAAGACUUCUGAUUGAUACAGUGCGUUGCCGUGAAGCAGCAUUCACCUCAUCUCUCUAAAUUGUUAUGCACAGGCAUGUGGAUACAGGCUACACCACAAAAGCUAACCGGUCUGUGGAAAACCAAUGUCCUCGCAGCAGUGAGGGACAGGCCUGACAACUUGGCUGACAUUUCUACGCGAAAAUUUCCCCUGACACCAGAUUCAGGUGCUGUCCCGUCAGAAUGAUGCUACACUUGUCUGGACUGAAAAAAAAAAAAAAAAAAAAAAAGAAAGUACGUAACUGCUGCGGAAGUCCAGUCAAACCGCCCCCCCCCACCCCCCAACCCCCCAGCCUCCACAGGGCUGGGCCCAAAACCAGUUAGCUGCUGGCAUUGAGGUGAAGGUCAAAGCCGUGUGCUAUGAAUUGCAGAACAGUGCACGCAGCUGCUACACCGUGUGUGUGUCACAAGAGAGUGGUGUGAAGAGCACUGUGACAUGCCACUGUGUGUGUGUGUGUGUGUGUGUGUGUGUGUGUGUGUGUGUGUGUGUGUGUGUGUGUGUGUGUGUGUGUGUGUGUGUGUGUGUGUGUGUGUGUGCGCGCGCGCGUUGUGUUUGAAUGGGAUGAAGGGGGGCUAAACAUAUGUCCAAUGACCGGUGUGUCAUUAGCUCUGUCCUCUCAAAGUGGGCAGAUGCACAUACUGUACAUCAACUCUGCGUGUGUGUGUGUGUGUGUGUGUCUAAAUGGUUGGUGGAGUGUCGCUACUUUGUGAGGGAUGUCCCAUAUUCCAUUAAACUCACCCACACACACACACACACACACACACACACACUUUUCCCCUCACUCACCUCCUCACAGAGAGCAGCAGCACUGAUACAAACACGUGCCCUGGAGCCUCCUCUUGUGUUUUCUCUUCUAAAAUCUGUGAUACAAAAAGUCUGGCACAUUUUCACAGUUUGAGCGAUCAUUUAAAUUGACUGUAAUCAUUAAUGAUCGCUGAGUCUACGUUUAGUACAUUUAAUUUAUGAGCGGCGCUAACUGCUGAAGUGCGGUUUGAAGUGGUCAAAGUGGUCAAAUUGAU
Echeneis naucrates (live sharksucker) is the source of this 2230-nucleotide long non-coding RNA. The record is from Ensembl. NCBI's taxonomy places the organism in Eukaryota, Metazoa, Chordata, Actinopteri, Carangiformes, Echeneidae.